GUGCUCGCUUCGGCAGCACAUAUACUAAAAUUGGAACCAUACAGAGAAGAUUAGCAUGGCCCCUGCGCAAGGAUGACACAUAAAUUCAUGAAGCAUUCCAUAUAUAA
Otolemur garnettii (small-eared galago) is the source of this 107-nucleotide small nuclear RNA. The record is from Ensembl. NCBI's taxonomy places the organism in Eukaryota, Metazoa, Chordata, Mammalia, Primates, Galagidae.